Long non-coding RNA from Passer domesticus (house sparrow), 458 nucleotides. RefSeq lists it as uncharacterized. The transcript is spliced from 3 exons. NCBI's taxonomy places the organism in Eukaryota, Metazoa, Chordata, Aves, Passeriformes, Passeridae. The record is from RefSeq and is a predicted model, not a curated record.
CUGCUGGGCUGCUCAAAUGUGUCCUCCCUGGCACGUUUUGCUGAUGGCUGCAGCUGGCUGAAGUUGGGCUGUGUUCUGUUCCAGGGGCUGAUUUCCUUUCUGGCACUGGGUGUGCGCGCGCUGUCCCCGGCAGCAGGCCUGGGCACGGGGCACAGAUCUGGGCGUCCCUCAGAAGCGCUUUCUCACGAGUGCCGGAGGAAUGCUGCUGGAAUUCUUCCAGGUUCUUGCAGGAAAAUACUCAUUGGAGUGCGAAUGACAAAAUCUCAAGUACCAAAUAUAACCCGUGCAUCUCCACGGAGGUGGGAACAGUGAAUAAAGGCAGAGAUCCCCCUUGCAGCAGUGGCAGCUCCUGUGAUUUAGGGCACUACACCUGGCUAUCUCUCCAUUUCUCUUCAGCAGCAACUGCUAGAAAGGAAUUAACUCAUAAUAUGUUUGAAUGAAAACCAAAUAAAAUUUAG